GACGUAGGGCGCGAGCGUUGUCCGGAUUUAUUGGGCGUAAAGAGCUCGUAGGCGGCUUGUCGCGUCGUUCGUGAAAACCCGGGGCUCAACUCCGGGCUUGCGGGCGAUACGGGCAGGCUAGAGUUCGGUAGGGGAGACUGGAAUUCCUGGUGUAGCGGUGAAAUGCGCAGAUAUCAGGAGGAACACCGGUAGCGAAGACGGGUCUCUGGGCCGAUACUGACGCUGAGGAGCGAAAGCGUGGGGAGCGAACAGG
This 253-nucleotide ribosomal RNA is filed under the name uncultured bacterium. RNAcentral describes it as "partial 16S ribosomal RNA". It matches the Rfam family "Bacterial small subunit ribosomal RNA", at positions 524 to 776 of the family's 1533-position model. The record is from RNAcentral.